Molecule: ribosomal RNA, 402 nt
Filed under: Verrucomicrobiota bacterium
Lineage: Bacteria; Pseudomonadati; Verrucomicrobiota
Description: Verrucomicrobia bacterium partial 16S ribosomal RNA
Rfam family: Bacterial small subunit ribosomal RNA
Source: RNAcentral
UGGGGAAUUUUGCACAAUGGGGGAAACCCUGAUGCAGCGACGCCGCGUGAUUUAGAAGGCCUUCGGGUUGUAAAAAUCUUUUUUAUGGGAUGAAAAUGACAGUACCAUAAGAAUAAGGUCCGGCUAAAUACGUGCCAGCAGCCGCGGUAAUACGUAUGGACCGAGCGUUGUCCGGAAUCAUUGGGCGUAAAGGGUACGUAGGCGGCCCAGUAAGUUAGAAGUGAAAUAAUAUAGCUCAACUAUAUAAAGCUUUUAAAACUGCUAGGCUUGAGAGAUGGAAGGGAAAGUGGAAUUCCUAGUGUAGCGGUGAAAUGCGCAGAUAUUAGGAAGAAUACCGGUGGCGAAGGCGACUUUCUGGUCAUCAUCUGACGCUGAGGUACGAAAGCGUGGGUAGCAAACACG